Long non-coding RNA from Salvia splendens (bonfire salvia), 970 nucleotides. RefSeq lists it as uncharacterized. Lineage: Eukaryota; Viridiplantae; Streptophyta; Magnoliopsida; Lamiales; Lamiaceae. The record is from RefSeq and is a predicted model, not a curated record. The transcript has 3 exons.
AGAGUUUGAAAAAUAAAGUGUCUAUACUAUUACUUUAAUUUUUGUUUCUUUUAAUAUGUACAGUGAGACUAGGUCACUGUUUCUAAUUCACCCCAAUUUGCACCUGAUUUUGCACCUACCACAUUGUUGAAAUUCAUCCAUAAAGAGAAUUUGGCUUCACUCCACUUGAAGAAGAAAUUUGAUGUUGAGUCAAUCUUCAAAUUUGAUGUUGAGUCAAUCUUCAUUGACUGCCUAAAGGGUUUGGAGUAUAUUCACUCCAAAAACCUUGUCCAUGGUGAUGUAUCAACCAACAACAUCUUUGUGGACUUAAAUGGGACAGCCAAAUUGGGGGACUUUGGAUGUGUUUCGGAUGAAGGAAUACCUCAUCCUAUUGGAGGUGUAUCUCUUUAUCAUGCCCCGGAAUUGGAAGAUGCAUUUGCUAAAUUGGUAGAUGAAGACACUCCAAUUGAUGAGCAGCUAUGUGUUAUGAAGGCAAGUGACUUAUAUUCACUUGCCUCGGCUAUAAUAGAACUUAUCUAUCCAAUGACCACAAAUUCUGAAAGGGAUCCCUUCUUAAUCGGCAUCAAAAGUACCAAAGUAUUUCAUGAUCAAGGAAAAGUUUCGCAAGAAUGCAUACGUCAACUAGAAGUGAUGUUGAGCGACGAUCCUAAUUGUCGCACUGAUGCCAAAACAAUCGUGAGUGUUUCUUUUUUACUUUUCUAAUGGAUUAAAUAUUUUGAUAUACUUUCAUUCUCUGAACUAACAGAGGAUGAGUCUUGUUUGACAGAGAUAGAUUUUAGUAGCGGAAUGCUGAUGUUUUUGGAACUUGCUGAUUUUGUAAAUCAAUCUUGAUUAGGCUGACAGAUACCAUGAGGGGGCAAGAAAACUAUGAAUAUUGGAACUUGUUGAUGAUAACUCUGAAAAGUUUAUGUUGAUGAUUGCAGUUGCUGAUAACUCUGAAAAGUUUAUGCUGAUGAUUGCACUUACAUAA